GCGGUGGUAGUUCAGCUGGUUAGAAUACAUGCCUGUCACGCAUGUGGUCGCGGGUUCGAGCCCCGUCCACCGCG
This 74-nucleotide transfer RNA is filed under the name Leptospiraceae bacterium. Its description in RNAcentral is "tRNA-Asp". It matches the Rfam family "tRNA". Rfam says of the family: Transfer RNA (tRNA) molecules are approximately 80 nucleotides in length. Their secondary structure includes four short double-helical elements and three loops (D, anti-codon, and T loops). The record is from RNAcentral. Lineage: Bacteria; Pseudomonadati; Spirochaetota; Leptospiria; Leptospirales; Leptospiraceae.